RNAcentral lists this ribosomal RNA (496 nucleotides) under uncultured bacterium. RNAcentral describes it as "partial 16S ribosomal RNA". It matches the Rfam family "Bacterial small subunit ribosomal RNA", at positions 28 to 506 of the family's 1533-position model. The record is from RNAcentral.
GAUGAACGCUGGCGGCGUGCCUAAUACAUGCAAGUCGAGCGAACAGACGAGGAGCUUGCUCCUCUGACGUUAGCGGCGGACGGGUGAGUAACACGUGGAUAACCUACCUAUAAGACUGGGAUAACUUCGGGAAACCGGAGCUAAUACCGGAUAAUAUAUUGAACCGCAUGGUUCAAUAGUGAAAGACGGUUUUGCUGUCACUUAUAGAUGGAUCCGCGCCGCAUUAGCUAGUUGGUAAGGUAACGGCUUACCAAGGCAACGAUGCGUAGCCGACCUGAGAGGGGGAUCGGCCACUCUGGAAGUGAGACACGGUCCAGGCUCCUACGGGAGGCCGCAGUAGGGAAGCUUCCGCAAUGGGCGAAAGCCUGACGGAGCAACGCCGCGUGAGUGAUGAAGGUCUUCGGAUCGGAAAACUGUGUUAUUAGGGAAGAACAAAUGUGUAAGUAACGAUGCACGUCUUGACGGUACCGAAUCAGAAAGCCACGGCUAACUACGU